This 1310-nucleotide ribosomal RNA is filed under the name Serratia marcescens. RNAcentral describes it as "partial 23S ribosomal RNA". It matches the Rfam family "Bacterial large subunit ribosomal RNA", at positions 1640 to 2925 of the family's 2925-position model. The record is from RNAcentral. Lineage: Bacteria; Pseudomonadati; Pseudomonadota; Gammaproteobacteria; Enterobacterales; Yersiniaceae.
AAUCGUACCCCAAACCGACACAGGUGGUCAGGUAGAGAAUACCAAGGCGCUUGAGAGAACUCGGGUGAAGGAACUAGGCAAAAUGGUGCCGUAACUUCGGGAGAAGGCACGCUGGCAUGUAGGUGAAGUCCUUCGCGGAUGGAGCUGAAGCCAGUCGAAGAUACCAGCUGGCUGCAACUGUUUAAUAAAAACACAGCACUGUGCAAACACGAAAGUGGACGUAUACGGUGUGACGCCUGCCCGGUGCUGGAAGGUUAAUUGAUGGGGUCAGCCGCAAGGCGAAGCUCUUGAUCGAAGCCCCAGUAAACGGCGGCCGUAACUAUAACGGUCCUAAGGUAGCGAAAUUCCUUGUCGGGUAAGUUCCGACCUGCACGAAUGGCGUAAUGAUGGCCAGGCUGUCUCCACCCGAGACUCAGUGAAAUUGAACUCGCUGUGAAGAUGCAGUGUACCCGCGGCAAGACGGAAAGACCCCGUGAACCUUUACUAUAGCUUGACACUGAACAUUGAGCCUUGAUGUGUAGGAUAGGUGGGAGGCUUUGAAGCGUGGACGCCAGUCUGCGUGGAGCCAUCCUUGAAAUACCACCCUUUAAUGUUUGAUGUUCUAACUCGGCCCCAUAAUCUGGGGUGAGGACAGUGUCUGGUGGGUAGUUUGACUGGGGCGGUCUCCUCCCAAAGAGUAACGGAGGAGCACGAAGGUUAGCUAAUCACGGUCGGACAUCGUGAGGUUAGUGCAAAGGCAUAAGCUAGCUUGACUGCGAGAGUGACGGCUCGAGCAGGUACGAAAGUAGGUCUUAGUGAUCCGGUGGUUCUGAAUGGAAGGGCCAUCGCUCAACGGAUAAAAGGUACUCCGGGGAUAACAGGCUGAUACCGCCCAAGAGUUCAUAUCGACGGCGGUGUUUGGCACCUCGAUGUCGGCUCAUCACAUCCUGGGGCUGAAGUAGGUCCCAAGGGUAUGGCUGUUCGCCAUUUAAAGUGGUACGCGAGCUGGGUUUAGAACGUCGUGAGACAGUUCGGUCCCUAUCUGCCGUGGGCGUUGGAAGAUUGAGAGGGGUUGCUCCUAGUACGAGAGGACCGGAGUGAACGCACCACUGGUGUUCGGGUUGUCAUGCCAAUGGCAUUGCCCGGUAGCUAAGUGCGGAAAAGAUAAGCGCUGAAAGCAUCUAAGCGCGAAACUUGCCUCAAGAUGAGUCUUCCCUGGACCUUUAAGGUCCCUGAAGGAACGUUUAAGACUAAGACGUUGAUAGGCUGGGUGUGUAAGUGCAGCGAUGCAUUGAGCUAACCAGUACUAAUGAUCCGUGAGGCUUAACCUU